CGACGCCUGCGCACUGAGCCGACCCGCCCUCGAGGCCCCGCCCCGUCCCAGCCCUCCGGCCGGAGUUCCCGGGACACGCUCGCCCCCUGCGGUCCUAAGCGUGCACUGCACCCCGCGGCCUCCAAAGCAUCCCGGUACCCCGCGCUCUGAGUUUGCCAUCUAAGCGAAAGGAAGCCAAUGGAGAGACUUUGGCUUAAGGAGAAGGCCCCCGGUACUGGUCACGGUCCCGGAGUAAGGGACUUGCAGAGGCUAUACAACCAGCAUGGAGCCCAACACCGGGCUUGAACUCACCACUCUGAGAUCAAGACCUGAGCUGAGAUGAGUCAGAUGAGCCACCCAGGUGUUCCUUCCUCUAACUCUUUCGAGGACCCUUGUGAUUCCAUCCAGCCCAGUUGGUUAAUCCAGGGUAUUUUUUAAGGAACUGAUUAGCAAUCUCAAUCCCAUCUGCAACCUUAAUUCCCCUUUGCCAUGUAAGGUAAUAGUGAUAGGCUCUGGAAAUUAGGGUUUGAACAUCUUUAGGGACUGCUAUUCUGCCUACCAACACCAUAUAUUGAGUACCUGCUGUAUACUCAUCUAAGCCCUGUGCUAGGGGCUGGGGUAUGGCAGAAACCCUGGGCCAGACAUCUUCUGGCAAGAGCUGAGUCAUUAUAAAAGCAGCUAGCAUUUCCUAAGAACCUGCUCUGUCCCUGUGCCAAGAGCUUUGCUAAGCAUUUCCUUUGCUAUUAGCCCAGUUUGACAAGAGUUAACUGAGAGGUGAAGUCACUUGCCCAAGGCACACAGUACAGACAGGACUGGAAUCCAGGUGUGUAAGAGCACAGAGUGUCCUGGGCCCAAGAAAGGACACAUAACCUAGGCUUAGAGACAGGGGGUCUCCCUGGGGGAGAGGAAUUGGGCAGGAUGGAGUCAAGGGCUUCCAGACUGAGGGUUGCCCAGGAGAAGCCAGUAGAGUUGUGGUUGUAACAUCUAUACAAACAGGUCAUUUGCAUACAACACUGAAGUGUUUUAUUCACACAGAUUGCCUCACUCAUUGGAAAGGCUCAAAACAGCCUGGGGGGUAGGGGGAGAGUGUAUUACCUGCCCCUGGCCCAUAAUAGGGACGCAAGAACUACUUGAAGGACCAUUCCACUCCUUAGUGAUUAAGUGAAGAGAUUUGCUAGAGGUCAGCUGGUAAGGACGAGACAAAGCUGGACUUGAACCUGGUUCUAACUCCAAAGUCUGCACUAUGUCUUAGGGCCUGUUCUCAGCCUGGUUUUGCCUUUCUCCAUACCAUCUGAGCACUGUUGGUAAUCUUUGCCUCCCCCAUGGCCGAGGCUCCUGGUUCCGCGUUCUUUCUCCACCCAAACUCAUCCAUCCCAGCUUAUCAGCCAUCAGCUGGUGUCUCACUCCCCGAGGGAGCUCCUCCCUGCCAGAACUGCCCAGAGUGGAAGAGUGCAAGGACGUGAGCAACCUAGGCUUUGGGUGUGAAUUUUGGCUGUUCUGGCUUUGCGAUCUUGAACAAAUAACCUCUGUGAGCUUCAGGCUUCUCGUCUAGGUAAUAAUGGAGGUAGCACACCUCUUCCUCGGGUGUUCAGAUAACACGGGCAAAACUAGCAUAGUGCCUGGCACACAAGAAACAUUCUGUAAAUGUAACUGGAAAUGAGGCAAAAUGAACAGACCUCACAACCAGUCCCCGAAAAGUCUGGAAUGAGCCGCAUUUUCCCUAGCAGACUCUAGUCUGUCUCUGUAAGGAGCUGUGGCUCCCCUCCAUGUCUGUUAUUCACAGAUGUUGACAGCAGUCUGCCGCAGCCCCAAGAGAGCUCGGAAAGAAUCCACUGACCGAGCAAACACAAGCAGAGCAGUAACCCCUACGGGUCAGUGUGGAUAUGGCCGGACAGCAGCAAGGGCGCAGAAAUCCACGAGGAGGAGACAAGCCAAAUGUGGGCAUCAACAUUGGGUGGAAGGUUGAAGCGCUGUGAGCCUCCUUCUCAAAGGUGUACGAAUUGCCAAAUCAGUGGGAUUGGAAGAGGUUCUUCUUUCCAAGCAAGUGUGUGAAAGUUCGCCUGAUCACCUCCGUGCCUUUGCUCAGACGGUCCCCUCUGUCUAGGAUGCCUUCGUCUCUCCUCUCCAACUUGGGAACUCCAUGCCCUGCCUUCAGUCCCCUCACUCUCACAGCCCAUGUGUUCCCACCACUGAACUGAUGCUAAGGUUUCGUUGCCGUGUUCUGUGCCAUUUGCUGAAGGAGGGCACCUGUCACCUCCAUUCCCUGGCAGGGUGUAGCCUGGGAUUUAAGACCUAAUAGAGUCUGUACAGUCCAAUGAAAAUAUGAGAGCCACGUUUUGAUUUUUAAUUUUCUAGUAACGCUUAAUAGUUACUAAUUAAAUGUCACUUAAAAAGAAGCAGGUGAGGGGUGCCUGGGUGGCUCAGUCAUUAAGUGUCUGCCUUCGGCUCAGGGCAUGAUCCUGGCAUUCUGGGAUCAAGCCCCACAUCAGGCUCCUCCACUGGGAGCCUGCU
This is a long non-coding RNA of Ailuropoda melanoleuca (giant panda), 2490 nucleotides long. RefSeq lists it as uncharacterized. Lineage: Eukaryota; Metazoa; Chordata; Mammalia; Carnivora; Ursidae. The transcript has 3 exons. The record is from RefSeq and is a predicted model, not a curated record.